This 757-nucleotide ribosomal RNA is filed under the name uncultured bacterium. RNAcentral's name for it is "bacterial SSU rRNA". It matches the Rfam family "Bacterial small subunit ribosomal RNA", at positions 93 to 868 of the family's 1533-position model. The record is from RNAcentral.
GAGUGGCGGACGGGUGAGUAACGCGUGAGUAAUCUGCCUCAUACAGGAGAAUAACACUAAGAAAUUGGUGCUAAUACUCCAUAAGCUCACAUUAUGACAUCAUAGAGUGAGAAAAGAUUUAUCGGUAUGAGAGGAGCUCGCGUCUGAUUAGCUAGUUGGUGGGGUAACGGCCUACCAAGGCGACGAUCAGUAGCCGACCUGAGAGGGUGAUCGGCCACAUUGGAACUGAGACACGGCCCAAACUCCUACGGGAGGCAGCAGUGGGGAAUAUUGCACAAUGGGGGAAACCCUGAUGCAGCGACGCCGCGUGAGCGAAGAAGUAUUUCGGUAUGUAAAGCUCUAUCAGCAGGGAAGAAAAUGACGGUACCUGACUAAGAAGCACCGGCUAAAUACGUGCCAGCAGCCGCGGUAAUACGUAUGGUGCAAGCGUUAUCCGGAUUUACUGGGUGUAAAGGGAGCGUAGACGGCUGUGUAAGUCUGAAGUGAAAGCCCGGGGCUCAACCCCGGGACUGCUUUGGAAACUAUGCAGCUAGAGUGUCGGAGAGGUAAGUGGAAUUCCCAGUGUAGCGGUGAAAUGCGUAGAUAUUGGGAGGAACACCAGUGGCGAAGGCGGCUUACUGGACGAUGACUGACGUUGAGGCUCGAAAGCGUGGGGAGCAAACAGGAUUAGAUACCCUGGUAGUCCACGCCGUAAACGAUGACUACUAGGUGUCGGGGAGCAAAGCUCUUCGGUGCCGCAGCAAACGCAAUAAGUAGU